GUCUACGGCCAUAUCAUGUUGAACGCACCAGUUCUCGUCUGAUCACUGAAGGUAAGCAACAUUGAGCUAAGUUAGUACUUGGAUGGGUGACCGCCUGGGAAUACUAAGUGCUGUAGGCA
Molecule: ribosomal RNA, 119 nt
Filed under: Eurytemora carolleeae
Lineage: Eukaryota; Metazoa; Arthropoda; Copepoda; Calanoida; Temoridae
Source: RNAcentral